This 214-nucleotide ribosomal RNA is filed under the name Pseudomonas aeruginosa. RNAcentral describes it as "partial 23S ribosomal RNA". It matches the Rfam family "Bacterial large subunit ribosomal RNA", at positions 2000 to 2213 of the family's 2925-position model. The record is from RNAcentral. Lineage: Bacteria; Pseudomonadati; Pseudomonadota; Gammaproteobacteria; Pseudomonadales; Pseudomonadaceae.
CGUAACGAUGGCGGCGCUGUCUCCACCCGAGACUCAGUGAAAUUGAAAUCGCUGUGAAGAUGCAGUGUAUCCGCGGCUAGACGGAAAGACCCCGUGAACCUUUACUGUAGCUUUGCACUGGACUUUGAGCCUGCUUGUGUAGGAUAGGUGGGAGGCUUUGAAGCGUGGACGCCAGUUCGCGUGGAGCCAUCCUUGAAAUACCACCCUGGCAUGC